This 492-nucleotide ribosomal RNA is filed under the name uncultured bacterium. RNAcentral's name for it is "partial 16S ribosomal RNA". It matches the Rfam family "Bacterial small subunit ribosomal RNA", at positions 29 to 507 of the family's 1533-position model. The record is from RNAcentral.
AGUGAACGCUGGCGGUAGGCCUAACACAUGCAAGUCGAACGGCAGCACAGUAAGAGCUUGCUCUUACGGGUGGCGAGUGGCGGACGGGUGAGGAAUACAUCGGAAUCUACUUUUUCGUGGGGGAUCACGUAGGGAAACUUACGCUCAUACCGCAUACGACCUACGGGUGAAAGCAGGGGAUCUUCGGACCUUGCGCGAUUGAAUGAGCCGAUGUCGGAUUAGCUAGUUGGCGGGGUAAAGGCCCACCAAGGCGACGAUACGUAGCUGGUCUGAGAGGAGGAUCAGCCACACUGGAACUGAGACACGGUCCAGACUCCUACGGGAGGCAGCAGUGUGGAAUAUUGGACAAUGGGCGCAAGCCUGAUCCAGCCAUACCGCGUGGGUGAAGAAGGCCUUCGGGUUGUAAAGCCCUUUUGUUGGGAAAGAAAAGCAUCAGGUUAAUACCCCGCUGUUCUGACGGUACCCAAAGAAUAAGCACCGGCUAACUUCGUG